AUGCAUGUCGGUACGAUCAUGGAGUCGAAUGAUGCGACUUUCUUUGAAGAUAUCUUUCCCAUGAAGGAUAUGGCUACCUCAUCUAAUCAGGAGAUGCCUAGUUCAUCGAAUCAGGAACCAAUUACAAUUACCGAACCUGCCAUUUCGAUGGAACACUUUGAAAGUCCUGUGAGAAAAACAAUGAAGUUCCUACUAGGAGCAAGAGACAGAGGACUGCAAAGUCCUUUGGUGAUGAUUUUCUUGUGUAUCUCAUAG
This 255-nucleotide ribosomal RNA is filed under the name Triticum aestivum (bread wheat). Its description in RNAcentral is "partial small subunit ribosomal RNA". Lineage: Eukaryota; Viridiplantae; Streptophyta; Magnoliopsida; Poales; Poaceae. The record is from RNAcentral.